This 611-nucleotide ribosomal RNA is filed under the name uncultured prokaryote. RNAcentral describes it as "bacterial SSU rRNA". It matches the Rfam family "Bacterial small subunit ribosomal RNA", at positions 28 to 657 of the family's 1533-position model. The record is from RNAcentral.
GAUGAACGCUGACAGAAUGCUUAACACAUGCAAGUCGAUUCGAUUUACCUUCGGGUAUUGAGGAUGGCGGACGGGUGAGUAACGCGUAAGGAACUUGCCUCUUGGUCUGGGACAACUGUUGGAAACGACAGCUAAUACCGGAUAUUAUGAGAUUCUCGCAUGGGAAACUUAUGAAAGCUAUAUGCGCCAAGAGAGAGCCUUGCGUUCCAUUAGCUAGUUGGUGGGGUAACGGCCCACCAAGGCGACGAUGGAUAGCCGGCCUGAGAGGGUGAACGGCCACAAGGGGACUGAGACACGGCCCUUACUCCUACGGGAGGCAGCAGUGGGGAAUAUUGGACAAUGGGCCACAAGCCUGAUCCAGCAAUUCUGUGUGCACGAUGAAGGUCUUCGGAUUGUAAAGUGCUUUCAGUUGGGAAGAAGAAAGUGACGGUACCAACAGAAGAAGCGACGGCUAAAUACGUGCCAGCAGCCGCGGUAAUACGUAUGUCGCAAGCGUUAUCCGGAUUUAUUGGGCGUAAAGCGCGUCUAGGCGGAAAAAUAAGUCUGAUGUUAAAAUGCGGGGCUCAACUCCGUAUUGCGUUGGAAACUGUUUUUCUAGAGUACUGGANAGG